UACGUAGGGGGCAAGCGUUGUCCGGAUUUACUGGGCGUAAAGAGCGUGUAGGCGGCCAUACAGGUCCGUUGUGAAAACUGGAGGCUCAACUUCCAGACGUCGACGGAAACCGUGUGGCUAGAGUCCGGAAGAGGAGAGUGGAAUUCCUGGUGUAGCGGUGAAAUGCGCAGAUAUCAGGAAGAACACCAAUGGCGAAGGCAGCUCUCUGGGGCGGUACUGACGCUGAGACGCGAAAGCGUGGGGAGCGAACAGG
Molecule: ribosomal RNA, 253 nt
Filed under: uncultured bacterium
Lineage: Bacteria
Description: partial 16S ribosomal RNA
Rfam family: Bacterial small subunit ribosomal RNA
Source: RNAcentral